GGGCCCGUAGCUCAGUGGUAGAGCGGUCGGCUCAUAACCGAUUGGUCGUAGGUUCGAUCCCUGCCGAGCCCACCA
Molecule: transfer RNA, 75 nt
Filed under: Chloroflexota bacterium
Lineage: Bacteria; Bacillati; Chloroflexota
Description: tRNA-Met
Rfam family: tRNA
About the family: Transfer RNA (tRNA) molecules are approximately 80 nucleotides in length. Their secondary structure includes four short double-helical elements and three loops (D, anti-codon, and T loops).
Source: RNAcentral